Molecule: long non-coding RNA, 920 nt
Organism: Lagenorhynchus albirostris (white-beaked dolphin)
Lineage: Eukaryota; Metazoa; Chordata; Mammalia; Artiodactyla; Delphinidae
Exons: 3
Source: RefSeq, a predicted model, not a curated record
AGGCCCAGUAUCCGAUUACCAGCAUGGCAGAAUUGCAAAGGAAACUAAAUGCGCACCGUAGAUUUUUCAUAAUGAAGUUGAGACCUGAUAUAAAGACUGCUGGGGAGUAGGCUGUGCAGAGGAACCCUUCUAUCAAGGACGUGGACCGCUGACUUCCUUCCAGUUUAUUCUUUCUCUUCCUUUCUUCUUUAUUUGACUUAUAAGACAUAUUCUCCUAACACUCCUUUGUAAAGACAAAGGGAAGAUCGUGCAUCCAGCCAUCUAUCCCCUGAAAUGCUAAAAAAAAAAAAGGACUAAAUUUGAUCCUUGGACUGUGCUUGACCAUCCAAAGAUUCCAAACCUGGAGCAGGUCCCUCAGGCUCACCGAACUACACUCCAGAAUCAAGGCCAUUGCUGGACUUCAGGAGUUAUGACUCAAAACAGAUCAACCAUAUGUGUGAUUGAAUCUAUUACAGAGAUACUGUUGAGCAUUUUACCCUCACUUGCAUGUGUUUUCCAUGAGCUCCCUUUCACCAUCACUCUUACCAACCACCCAGUGGGGAAAUUUCUCUAAGCCCUGGCCUCACCAACCAGCAUUUGGUUCAUUUGUGUCCUAAGGCCGUUGUACUGGGUGCCAGGAAAUGCCAAGCCAAGUACAGAAGUGCGGUGGGGAAGGUGUUAAUGUGGUCCCUGCUUUUAGUUUUUUUCUUCUCUUUUCUCUCAUUUCUCCAGUUUCCUCAUUAAGUGCUUUACCAAAUGCGACGUUAUAAGCCAUCAUGAAAAAUUUCUGGAAAGAUGAGUGUAGAUAAAAAGGAAAGAAGAGAGAAAGGAGAGGAAGGGAAAAGGAGAGCAGGAGUGUGGCAUUCUCUCUCCUGCUCCAGGGACUUUUCGACAGAAAACUCUCUCUUAUUAAUCUUUAAUUUUUUUCACAUUUUCUAAGA